Molecule: long non-coding RNA, 1895 nt
Organism: Ictalurus punctatus (channel catfish)
Lineage: Eukaryota; Metazoa; Chordata; Actinopteri; Siluriformes; Ictaluridae
Exons: 3
Source: RefSeq, a predicted model, not a curated record
GCCUUGUUGCGGUCAGGAAGCAACCAUAUCCACUGGGAUCACAGCAUCCGGACCAUGCAGUACCAAACUGGAACUAACUGGAAAGAGGAGCAAGUGCAGACAAAACUGAUGCUAGCGACUGCUGUCAGAAAAACCCAAAUAAGUCUCAUGGUACAAAAUGGAUGCCACCAAGCCAUUUCACUAGUAUCCAGGGUGUCUGGCUCACUCAUAUCUUCGCGUGUAAGGUAGUGUAAAGCAUGGCCACCACAGUAAAACAUUGUUUAUUAUCAUCAUCAUCAUCAUCAUCAUCAUCAUCACCAUCGUCACCAAAAGUGCCAUUACUAAUAUCAUAUGAUGUGCAACUGACAUAGUAGAUCUCAUUGAGAUGCCCAAAACGCCCACUACGACAAAUGAGUUUGAAAGUUCCGUACAAAGAGUACAAAGUUUGAAAGUUCAUUUAAUCAUUGACCAAUGGUGAGCUUUGUCUAACUAUUCCAAUCGAAAUUAAUUUCUUCAGUUCAUUAUUAGUCCCUGUUAGUGUACUUCAUAAGUUGUAGACUAAGGCUGUGUUGCCCAAGACAUACUACAGAGUGUCAUACAUAGGGGAAAUGAACACUUUUUAGCAAAAUGUUUUCCAACAUUUUUCAUACUUUGUUUAUAUUAUAAAUAUGUAAUCAGAAAGCUUUUAAGAACGUCUUCGACGAAAGAAGAACGUACUGAAAUCAUUCUCAUGGCUGGAUUGGGAAGCUGCCACAAGGUUGCGAUGGACUUUAACGGGAAACAUGGCAAGCACAUCACAUACGACACUAACAAAUUCAAAAAGACUGGAAAUGUUCAGCCCAAGUGGAGGAGAAGUGUUGGAGACGUCCACAAACAUCCACUGAUGAAGGCACAACAGAUGUGGUGCUGGCAAACACAGUCCCCCACUAUGUACAGCGACUGUUGGGACACACCCUGUAUAUGGCUCAGGUGUGUGCUUCUAUGUUCGAUGGGAUCCUAUUCAGGCCAAACACGGACAAGUGUAGCCACAUAAUGUCAUUUUCUUUGGAUGUGGUUUAACAUUUUGCUCCAACCUAAGCCGCCACCCAAAUAUAUUCAUUAGGCCUAACGAGCCACCCCAGUGUAAGAGGUCUGGCCACGCCCCUACAGAUUACACCUUCAUAUCCUGUACAAUUUAAGGAAUGUCGCCUGAAUACAGCCUGGGACAUGAACCAAACAGUAACUUAUUCACCCAUAUAAUGUUUUCGGUGGACGCGUUUCACAACACCGGACAGCUUCUCCUGCUCGUCCCGCUCACACAGCGCGUCUCUCCGGCCGGCGGAGUGGAACAUGCCGGGCUCGGGCUCUGUACGGACACUGGGCUGGAGCUCCAUGGCACUGACGCUGUAGUGGCCGUGCUGCUGCAACUCGCGCACCACCGGGAUCCGUUCAGCACCAGCAGCUAUUCCACAAUUAAGGAUUAUUUCUAAUAGGAGAUAUACCACCAUCAUGUAUCCACAUCAAACAGUAUAAAUGUUCAGCAAACAUCUGAAGGAAAAUAUUACCUUGAAUUUCCUCUGCAUUUGAGGUAGUGCUGGUCAUUGAGGAAUGUCUGAAUAAAAAGUGAAUGUUCAAAUGAAUAAGCACCGAAUAAUUCAUACAAAUUCAUAACGAAGAUUGUAGUAUGAGUAGUACCUAAUAUAAUAUAUUAUAUAUAAUAAUAUUCCAUAGUAACUCAUUUUUUGAAUAAGAAGCAAAUUACAAAAUACUGUCUAAAGGUUUACUGAUAUCACAACAGAUCCAUGUCAAGAUUAAAUCCUAUUUCUAUAUUACACAUUACUUUUGAAUAGACAACCAAAUGAAUUGUAAGUAAGGUUCUUAAUAAUUAAAUGAAUUGUUAAUUUUUGUAACCAGAUUUUGACCUGCUCACCUGGUUG